AGUUUUCACCUAUCGCGGGGCGGCGGAGUCAGUGCCGUCGUACCCGCGGUAGCUUUUAUGCACGCCAGGAGGGCAGGCGCCAAGGAUGGCGCGAU
RNAcentral lists this small RNA (95 nucleotides) under Stenotrophomonas panacihumi. Its description in RNAcentral is "Xanthomonas sRNA sX7". It matches the Rfam family "Xanthomonas sRNA sX7". The record is from Rfam by way of RNAcentral. Lineage: Bacteria; Pseudomonadati; Pseudomonadota; Gammaproteobacteria; Lysobacterales; Lysobacteraceae.